RNAcentral lists this ribosomal RNA (440 nucleotides) under uncultured Shewanella sp. RNAcentral describes it as "bacterial SSU rRNA". It matches the Rfam family "Bacterial small subunit ribosomal RNA", at positions 358 to 789 of the family's 1533-position model. Lineage: Bacteria; Pseudomonadati; Pseudomonadota; Gammaproteobacteria; Alteromonadales; Shewanellaceae. The record is from RNAcentral.
GGAAUAUUGGACAAUGGGGGCAACCCUGAUCCAGCCAUGCCGCGUGUGUGAAGAAGGCCUUCGGGUUGUAAAGCACUUUCAGUAGGGAGGAAAGGUAGCGUGUUAAUAGCACGUUACUGUGACGUUACCUACAGAAGAAGGACCGGCUAACUCCGUGCCAGCAGCCGCGGUAAUACGGAGGGUCCGAGCGUUAAUCGGAAUUACUGGGCGUAAAGCGUGCGCAGGCGGUUUGUUAAGCAAGAUGUGAAAGCCCCGGGCUCAACCUGGGAAUUGCAUUUUGGACUGGCAAACUAGAGUCUUGUAGAGGGGGGUAGAAUUCCAGGUGUAGCGGUGAAAUGCGUAGAGAUCUGGAGGAAUACCGGUGGCGAAGGCGGCCCCCUGGACAAAGACUGACGCUCAGGCACGAAAGCGUGGGGAGCAAACAGGAUUAGAUACCCCUG